This 254-nucleotide ribosomal RNA is filed under the name uncultured bacterium. RNAcentral's name for it is "partial 16S ribosomal RNA". It matches the Rfam family "Bacterial small subunit ribosomal RNA", at positions 524 to 776 of the family's 1533-position model. The record is from RNAcentral.
UACGUAGGGUGCAAGCGUUGUUCGGAUUUACUGGGCGUAAAGGGCGCGUAGGCGGCCACUGCAAGUCAGUUGUGAAAUCUCCGGGCUUAACCCGGAAAGGUCAACUGAUACUGCAGGGCUAGAGUGCAGAAGGGGCAACUGGAAUUCUCGGUGUAGCGGUGAAAUGCGUAGAUAUCGAGAGGAACACCUGCGGCGAAGGCGGGUUGCUGGGCUGACACUGACGCUGAGGCGCGAAAGCCAGGGGAGCGAACGGG